CCUACGGGGGGCAGCAGUGAGGAAUAUUGGUCAAUGGACGAGAGUCUGAACCAGCCAAGUAGCGUGAAGGAUGACUGCCCUAUGGGUUGUAAACUUCUUUUAUAAAGGAAUAAAACGAGGCACGUGUGCCUUUUUGCAUGUACUUUAUGAAUAAGGAUCGGCUAACUCCGUGCCAGCAGCCGCGGUAAUACGGAGGAUCCGAGCGUUAUCCGGAUUUAUUGGGUUUAAAGGGAGCGUAGAUGGGUUGUUAAGUCAGUUGUGAAAGGUUGCGGCUCAACCGUAAAAUUGCAAUUGAUACUGGCAGUCUUGAGUACAGUUGAGGUAGGCGGAAUUCGUGGUGUAGCGGUGAAAUGCUUAGAUAUCACGAAGAACCCCGAUUGCGAAGGCAGCUUACUAAACUGUGACUGACAUUGAGGCUCGAAAGUGUGGGUAUCAAACAGGAUUAGAUACCCUGGUAGUC
RNAcentral lists this ribosomal RNA (460 nucleotides) under uncultured bacterium. RNAcentral describes it as "partial 16S ribosomal RNA". It matches the Rfam family "Bacterial small subunit ribosomal RNA", at positions 338 to 795 of the family's 1533-position model. The record is from RNAcentral.